Molecule: non-coding RNA, 4536 nt
Organism: Rattus norvegicus (Norway rat)
Lineage: Eukaryota; Metazoa; Chordata; Mammalia; Rodentia; Muridae
Source: RefSeq, a predicted model, not a curated record
UGAACUUGGAAGGAAAAAUAGGUAAUGUGACCAAUUUAACCAGUGGGCUGGGGAUAUUUCUGUUUUCCUGAGACUGUUUUUUUCUUUUCCUAUUUUUUCUUUCAAGCUCUCCUGUGCCAUAUAACUCCAAGUACAAUCAUGCACAACUUAGGUAUAUGUUUAAUUCAAAAGCAUUCUGUGGAGAGAUCAAACUGAAAUUUCCUCUUAAAUAGACCUAUUCAUUCAAUGCUUGGAGGCUGGCCAGGAAUGAACUCCAAAUGUGAGACUCUGCAUCAGCAACUGGAAGCCCACACUCCACGUGACCACAACCUGUGCUUCCAAACGACCAAUCGAGCGAGCUUCAAAUGCUCUCAAGCUGUGAUUAGGCUCAUAGGGAGGGAUAAACAGAGGCCCCAAACUGUGCACCGAAUAUAUAAGUCAUCAAAGCAAUUUUAAAAUCAAUUCAACCUUUGACAAGCAGCCAAUGCCGUUCCCCUGUGAUUUGAGUGACAUGCUCAGGCUUCUACAUUGAGUGAAAUUGGACAGCAGUGCCUCUAUGCAUGUUAGAACCUAUGAAGGACCCUCCCUCCUCCUCAGUCCCCACCCCAAGGAAAAGCAUCACAGGUGUUACAAUGGUGUCUCUGUGAGGUCAUUAACACAUGGACAACACUCAAUUGUGAGGGCAUUGAUGAAGAUUCCAGUGACUAGGCAAAGGAACCCAAGACAGGAGACCUCAUAGCACAGCCUUAUCCAUAGCCCUGAGAUUAAUCAACUUGGACUCUAGAGAUGACUGAAAACAGGCUUCGUCUAAGGAUGGGUGGCUUGUUAUUUAGGGGAAAGAGGGCCAGGAUAGGGGUAGAUUGAUAGUCAGAGACUAACAGAGUUAAGCAAGCCCUCCUAUUUAAGACAGAAUUUAAGACAGAAUCCUAUUUCCCAUUGAUAUCUUUCUUUAUAUCCAUACCAGCCCCACCCCGUUCCACCCUGUCCCUGCCAUCCACCUCUUUUGUUAUUCUAAAAAGUGUUCUCCACUCUUCAAGACACAGAGAAAAGCUGGUGGGCAAAUGGAACAGAGGAUUGGCUCUGAGGCUCUGCUUUGUAGUCUGGUUUCUAGCUGUGGUUGGUUACUCGCGCUUUGCUCACUGGAACUGUAGAAAUAACUGCUGGUGUCUCUUCUUCGUGACUCAGGAGAGACAAGUGAGCCACCGCUGCAAUUCUGAUGCUAAGCUACAGUCUCACCUUCAGGGGCUCAAAGCCACAUUGUCUCCCUGACCUUGGCUUCCCUUUCCCUUCAGUGUGAAUUUAUCACCUGCUUGAGCUCUUUUGCCACCAUCUUCUCCUGGCUUUGUAGCAGCCUCCCUCUCUUCUUUUUCCAUUCAGGAUUCCAGUCAUAAUAGGCACUGUUAGUUCUCUCCUGGACCAUCAUGAUAUUCCCAGUUCUCAUGCUCCAAGACAAGAUGAGAAUCAGAGAGGUACCACACAGCAAGGCUCCACACACAAUAUAAUAGAGACUUUGUUCUGUGUUCUGCUCAGCUCUCCCCAUUGGACAGAGUGCCGUACAUUCCUGCACCUGGAGAAAGAAUCAGUAAUAUUGCAAAAGAUGCUGGAGCAAAGCCCAGGACUCAGGGAAAACAGACCGCACAGUUUACAACGAGAAAUCUUCAGGCUCACAGGUUUGGUCCACGGUGAAGGAGCCUGUAUGCUCCCUUCUACUGGGCUGUAAGGCUGGAAAUAAAGGCAUUUGAAAGGACGAAGUCACCUCCUGGGGAGAAGAGGAAGUACCCACCAAUCUUAGGAUAUUAGUGACUAAUUGUUUUACAGACACCUUCUCCCUCUUUAGCUGGAAAGCAAAGCUUUAUGCAAAGACUGAGCCUCCGCAGGACUCUGCUUGAGCGAAAGGAUCUUUAGGAAAACAAAGAGACAGAUUAUUAAUGCUAAAAAUGUAGAUGUGGGUUUCUGCGACCAUUUCAAGCCAGGUUUGAAAUAAUGGGCUCUGACCUCUUGCUAGGAGGUUAAAAGUGAUUGAAAACUGCAAGUCUUUUGAAAUUGUCUAGGCUGGUGGCAAACCUUAAGUUUGUCAUUCUGACCUUUGCUCGUGUAAAUAUAGGCAAGUUAUUUUGGAUGGCUCUAAAAGAGGUUAUAAAAAGCAAGUUUUCAGGCUUUUGUCCUUGCGGGAAAAGUCCCCUUUUUGCUUGUGUUCGGAAUUGCCUUUCUCCGAUGGUUUUUUGUGAUUAGCACUUGUUGGACACUUAAAGCAUUUCUUAUCCGGUAGAUAUAAUUGGAUCUCCUAUGUUUUGUGUCUUCAAAUGUAUCCCUGAGUGGCCGCCUUGAGAAAGCAUUUAGUGUUUCACUUGUUAAUGGAUUUCUUUCUAUCCUGGGUUUACUUCUGAUGCAACAAUCAUCGCAGACAUUUCCAAAGUGCUUCGUGUGCUCAAACACGGCAGCAUUCUUUGUAAGAAUGGUAAGUCUGAAGCCAUCUCCCUCAUCUCACUAUGCAGCGCUCUCUGCAGUAGACUUGGUUAAGGCGGCCAAGAAGGAAUAUGGAGGGCUGCUGGAGUUGGUCCUCCUCCUAACAUCACUGGUUUUGGGGGAUGGAACUCUGGUUCUCAGUCUCACCUCAGCCAGGUGUCUUUUACCCAAACAGCUAUGUCCCCAGCCUACUCUGUCUUUGGAACAUCUAUAUCUUGGAGAGGGUUAGUAAUGGGGCUCCUAAUUUACAUUCCAAUAGACAUUGCUAGAUGCUUUACUCUUCUCCCAGAAGCACAUGCAGACAAAAACUUAGUAUUAGUAAAUUUCAGUUUUAAGGGAAGGGUAAAUUUAAUGAUUUUAGGUAAAUAGUAGUAUCUCAGUUUUGCUUGCGCCCCCCCCCCCCGCCACUUACUAAUGCAUUUCACCUGCUUUUUUGUGCACGCUUGUGGUUAAAACAUACUGAGAAUUAUUUUUGGUUGUGAGCCUAGCCUUUAACGGCUGAGCCAUCUCUCCAGCCCAAGAAUUAUUUUUAAUUAUACAUUUUUUAUACAUGUUUUAACUAAGAUUAUGUAUUUGUGUAUGUUUUAACUAUUAAUUAUGCCUCCUAAUAACCUAGUUUUACUGCCUGGAUUCAUCAGUUUUACUUUUGUUGUUGUUGUUCAGAAAGAUGAAAGAUUUGCUAAUUCCUACUCAUCUAGAACCAUCUCAUAGCGUCUAAUAAAAAAGGUAUCAGGAAACAGUGGCUCUCAGAGCCUGCAGCACAAUCUGUAUUCUCUUAAAAAACAAAGACUUACUCUGUCUUUGUUGGAAUACAGUAAGUCUUUUGUUAUGUUUCUCUUUGUGAGUGCAUGCCACACCCACACUUAUGAAGGUGCCCAUGGAAUCCAGAAGAGGGCACUGGAAUUACUAGACCUAGACUUCCAAGUGGUUAUGAGCGACCUGCUGAGGUCUGAACUCAAGCUCUGCAGAAGCAACAAGUGCUGGUAGCCUUGAGCCAUCGCUCUUGCUCCAUGGUACACAUUCUUUUCUUAUUUCAGUUUUUAUUUUUAUGCUCCUCUCACCUAGACCACGGUUUCCCUUCCCUCCCCUUCCUCCAGUCUAUUUCCCCUACCACCUCCCCUGUCCCUCAGAUUUACUCUGCUUUCACUUCCCCUCAGAGAAGAGCAGACUUCCCAGAGAUGUCAAUCAAACACCAACAGCAUAACAAGCUACAAUAAGAUGAUCACAUCAUGGCUAGUAAAGGCAACCCAGCAAGAGGAAAAGGGUCUCACAAGCAGCAAAAGAGCCGAGACCAGCCCCUGCUCCCACCACCAGGAAUCCCACAGAAAGACCUAGCUACUCAGCCACAACAUUUUAUACAUUGUGCAGACAGCCUAGGUCAGAGACCCACAGGCUUCCUUAUCUCUGUGAACCCCCGUGAGUCCCUUGGUGGCCAUGUCCCAGAUACUGCUGGUUCCUUCGCUCCUUCCUGUCCCUCCUCAAUACCCAGGUCUGCCUAAUGUUUGGCUGUGGGACCCUGCCCCCAUCAGUUGUCUGAUAAAGUCUCUUGGUCUUUCUGAUGACAAUAAUGCUAUGUUCCAGUCCUAGAACACCGAGGGCAGGGUAAACAAUGUAGCUCAGAGGUUUUGCCCCAUAGCCCACAUCCUUAAAUUACUGUUUGCCAAACCUACUGCAUCCUUUGUGGUAAAUGCUAUUGUUACUGAAAAUUUAAGGGAACUCCUUUGUGGUUGCCUCAUGUUUCGGAAGAAAUCAGAGGUGCCCUCUUGGUGUUCUUAGUCUUACUAAUAAAGUAAUUUAAGAAUGGACUCAAAUGGAAGUUCAUGGCCACGUUUUUCACCAUUGAAGAAAUAAGCCGAUUCAGCCAAAUUAAAAGUAAAAAGUCAGGUUUAUUUGGGAAUGGACUCCCAGAAGAGUUUGCCAGUCUCAGGGGAUAAGACUGAAAAGUUGAAGGCAGAUUAUGGAAUGGAAGUUGUUUUAUAGAUUGUAGGAAAAGCAUGUGUCUGCCAUACACUGGGCUUGUGUAGGGUGAGGGGCUUGGGUAGCUGGUGACUUCAGGUGAGGCAGGUAGGGUCAGCUGUGAGAAAUGUCAGG